Molecule: ribosomal RNA, 262 nt
Filed under: uncultured Peptoniphilus sp.
Lineage: Bacteria; Bacillati; Bacillota; Tissierellia; Tissierellales; Peptoniphilaceae
Description: partial 16S ribosomal RNA
Rfam family: Bacterial small subunit ribosomal RNA
Source: RNAcentral
GUAGGCGAACGGGUGAGUAACACGUGAGCAACCUGCCUUAGACAUUGGGAUAGCCUCGGGAAACCGGGAUUAAUACCAAAUGAAAUCACAUAUGCACAUGCAUAAAUGAUCAAAGCUCCGGCGGUCUAAGAUGGACUCGCGUCCCGUUAGCUAGUUGGUGAGGUAACGGCCCACCAAGGCGACGAUGGGUAGCCGGCCUGAGAGGGUGAACGGCCACAUUGGAACUGAGAAACGGUCCAAACUCCUACGGGAGGCAGCAGCC